GAUGAACGCUGGCGGCGUGCCUAAUACAUGCAAGUCGAGCGAACGGACGAGAAGCUUGCUUCUCUGAUGUUAGCGGCGGACGGGUGAGUAACACGUGGAUAACCUACCUAUAAGACUGGGAUAACUUCGGGAAACCGGAGCUAAUACCGGAUAAUAUUUUGAACCGCAUGGUUCAGAAGUGAAAGACGGUCUUGCUGUCACUUAUAGAUGGAUCCGCGCUGCAUUAGCUAGUUGGUAAGGUAACGGCUUACCAAGGCAACGAUGCAUAGCCGACCUGAGAGGGUGAUCGGCCACACUGGAACUGAGACACGGUCCAGACUCCUACGGGAGGCAGCAGUAGGGAAUCUUCCGCAAUGGGCGAAAGCCUGACGGAGCAACGCCGCGUGAGUGAUGAAGGUCUUCGGAUCGUAAAACUCUGUUAUUAGGGAAGAACAUAUGUGUAAGUAACUGUGCACAUCUUGACGGUACCUAAUCAGAAAGCCACGGCUAACUACGUGCCAGCAGCCGCGGUAAUACGUAGGUGGCAAGCGUUAUCCGGAAUUAUUGGGCGUAAAGCGCGCGUAGGCGGUUUUUUAAGUCUGAUGUGAAAGCCCACGGCUCAACCGUGGAGGGUCAUUGGAAACUGGAAAACUUGAGUGCAGAAGAGGAAAGUGGAAUUCCAUGUGUAGCGGUGAAAUGCGCAGAGAUAUGGAGGAACACCAGUGGCGAAGGCGACUUUCUGGUCUGUAACUGACGCUGAUGUGCGAAAGCGUGGGGAUCAAACAGGAUUAGAUACCCUGGUAGUCCACGCCGUAAACGAUGAGUGCUAAGUGUUAGGGGGUUUCCGCCCCUUAGUGCUGCAGCUAACGCAUUAAGCACUCCGCCUGGGGAGUACGACCGCAAGGUUGAAACUCAAAGGAAUUGACGGGGACCCGCACAAGCGGUGGAGCAUGUGGUCUAAUUCGAAGCAACGCGAAGAACCUUACCAAAUCUUGACAUCCUUUGACAACUCUAGAGAUAGAGCCUUCCCCUUCGGGAGACAAAGUGACAGGUGGUGCAUGGUUGUCGUCAGCUCGUGUCGUGAGAUGUUGGGCUAAGUCCCGCAACGAGCGCAACCCUUAAGCUUAGUUGCCAUCAUUAAGUUGGGCACUCUAAGUUGACUGCCGGUGACAAACCGGAGGAAGGUGGGGAUGACGUCAAAUCAUCAUGCCCCUUAUGAUUUGGGCUACACACGUGCUACAAUGGACAAUACAAAGGGCAGCGAAACCGCGAGGUCAAGCAAAUCCCAUAAAGUUGUUCUCAGUUCGGAUUGUAGUCUGCAACUCGACUACAUGAAGCUGGAAUCGCUAGUAAUCGUAGAUCAGCAUGCUACGGUGAAUACGUUCCCGGGUCU
RNAcentral lists this ribosomal RNA (1372 nucleotides) under uncultured bacterium. RNAcentral's name for it is "bacterial SSU rRNA". It matches the Rfam family "Bacterial small subunit ribosomal RNA", at positions 28 to 1381 of the family's 1533-position model. The record is from RNAcentral.